GGGGUCCACCACACAAAAAUUGCUUUAAAACUCCUAUUUAAGAGGACUCUGAGAUAUUUGGGGAGGGACAAGGGAGUCAUGAAAGUGGAUAGAGUACUGGAUUGGGAAUCAAAGAACCGAGUUCAAAUUUCUCCUCUGUUACUUACUUCCCAUGUGUUCUUGGGCUAGGCCCUCAAUGUCUCUGGAUUGCAAUGUCAUCAUCUUCAAAAGGAGUAGAUUGGACUAAAAGACCUUUCAGAUUCCUGGCAGCUCUACAUCCAUGAUCUGAAAACUUCAAGAGGGAAGUGGAACCUAUUCCUAUAGUUUGGGGGGUAAAGAUGGGGUACCAAUGUCUUGGGGUACCUACAAUCUCCUCCUACAAUCAUGGCCUCACUCUCUGAUCAUCUCUACUCAACCAGAAACUCAGAUUCCCCUCCUUGCUCUAUUAGAUUCUACAAGGCAGAGAAGAGGAAGCAGUUCAUUCUGGGCACCAACAGAGGGCAGGGAGGAGAAGCACUAGCACAGAGCUCUCUAAUUGCCACAAAAAUACAAGAAAGUGAUCUAGCAAGUGUUGGAGAAGGGUCUGGAUCUGAAUGGACAAAGACAGCACCCAUACAAUAUAACACCAGACAUUAAAGAGAUGUAUGAAAAUAUGUAAAAGAAUUCCA
This is a non-coding RNA of Phascolarctos cinereus (koala), 647 nucleotides long. NCBI's taxonomy places the organism in Eukaryota, Metazoa, Chordata, Mammalia, Diprotodontia, Phascolarctidae. The record is from RefSeq and is a predicted model, not a curated record.